CGGAGGGUGACGAGGUGACGGCGAUGGUGGAGGGGGCUGCCAUGUGACACUUUAAUGUUGAUAAAACAGCAGAUGUUGACAAUGGACCUUCUUUGGCCAAUUGGACGGUGGGAUGGCAACAUCAUAUAUAUAGGGUCGUGGUGGUGGUAGUAGUGGUAGCGAUGAAAAUUCGAUGCCAAAGCAGAAGCUGAUGAAAGAGUGAGAAGCCAGCCUUGCUUCUGAACCAGAAAACUUAAGGUUUGGGUACUUGUGCGAUUCGGGCAGCGAGAAAGCCUUUUGUCAAUACACUUGCUGGAUGAAAACCUCACCACGGCGUGUCGGUCGUGGGGGUUAUCUGACUAUACUUCACCACUUUGGUCAAUGCAGGUUGGUGAAGGGGUCGGAGGGCGGGGGGCCAGGACAGGCUCCCCCGCUGGGAUUUUAACUUAGGUCACAGUGCAUUCGUUCAUUUAUAAUGCCAAUUAGACUCUUCAGGAGAGUCUUGCAUGAGCGAAGUUUGGCCAGUUCUAUUCAUGAGAGUUUGGCUUCAUGUGGGAGGAAACCAGAGAACUCGGAGAAAAGCCACCACACAGAGGUUGGGGACUUCAAGGUGUGGCCCCCUCGUGAAGGAGCCCGUGUGACAUUUCAAGGCACGAGC
This is a long non-coding RNA of Petromyzon marinus (sea lamprey), 637 nucleotides long. RefSeq lists it as uncharacterized. The record is from RefSeq and is a predicted model, not a curated record. NCBI's taxonomy places the organism in Eukaryota, Metazoa, Chordata, Hyperoartia, Petromyzontiformes, Petromyzontidae.